CCAGGCAGUGUUUUUAUUUUACAGAUAAUCUGAGUUCAGCUUGGUUAAUCACGUUACUAUGGAUGUACAGCUAGUGAGUGACAAUGCUAGCCUUCAAAGCUAGGUCAGUCUGAUUCCAAAGUCCACAUUCUUUCCACUUUACCAUUUGCAUCUAUGUAGCAUGCUUGUUAAAAGCUUUUCAGAUAAUAACAUUAAUAAUUGCCAUUUUAAAUAUCAAAUAUGUAUGAGGUUCUUUUUAUAUACUACAUAAACAUUAUUAUUAAUCUGUAUAAUAAAAUUACUUGGCUAUUAUUUCUUUUCUUCCCCUUCUUUUCCGUUUUUCUCCCCAUUGUGUGGCUAUAAAACUAUACCCUUUCUUGGGUUCUUUAUUUCCUUUUACUAACUAUAUCUCACUAGUUCCUCCUGGACACACUUUUCUUGCCAAAUGUUAGUUUUUCUGAUGCUUUCUAAAUUAAAUAUAUUUAUUUAUAUGACGAACAUUCACCAAAACUUAAGAGUACCAGGAACCAUGCUAGACUAGGCCAUGAAUAAAACAUGACUGCUGUCUACCCAGGCCUGUGAAAGACUUUACAUCUAUGAUAGCACUGUAGUAACUACCAAGGCUACAUGCAUGUGUACUUACAUGCAUGCAUACAUACAUUCAUUCCUACAUUUGACAAA
Molecule: long non-coding RNA, 660 nt
Filed under: Pan troglodytes (chimpanzee)
Lineage: Eukaryota; Metazoa; Chordata; Mammalia; Primates; Hominidae
Description: long non-coding RNA NONPTRT013210
Source: RNAcentral